AUGCUGUCCAUACAUCAAUUUCUUGGACUUCUGCUUUUCUGGAUUUCAGCCUCCAGAUGUGACAUUGUGCUGACUCAGUCUCCAGCCACUCUGUCUGUGACUCCAGGAGAUAGAGUCACUCUCUCCUGCAGGGCCAGCCAGAGUAUUAACAAUAACCUACACUGGUAUCAACAAAAAUCACAUGAGUCUCCAAGGCUUCUCAUAAAGUAUGCUUCCCAGCCCAUCUCUGGGAUUCUCUCCAGGUUCAGUGGUAGUGGCUUUGGGACAGAUUUCACUCUCAGUAUCAACAGUGUGGAACAGGAAGAUUUUGGAAUGUAUUAUUGUCAACAAGAUUACAGCUGGCCUUCCACAGUGAUGUAG
This is a non-coding RNA of Mastomys coucha (southern multimammate mouse), 360 nucleotides long. Lineage: Eukaryota; Metazoa; Chordata; Mammalia; Rodentia; Muridae. The record is from the annotation of a RefSeq genome assembly.